CAUUGCAUAGAAACAGGCAUAAAAUUUUCCAGAGUGCAAGCAUUGUCUUGCAGAUGCCUAAGUUCAAUCAGUUUACCCCUUGCCUUAUAUGGAAGAACUAGAGUAGCUUUCUGAGUAUACCAAAAGUUGUCAAAUCAACAGCAGAUGUCAGGAGGUAUCCUCAAAGGCAAGCCUGAUUUAUAUGGAAGCACAUGAUUAAUGCUCUAUUGUGGCAUGCAAGGCACUACUUCGACUUUGGAUUGGCUUGCAUAUAUGGGCAUGUUUUAAAUAGGAAAGAAACCUUUCACAUGGUGCAGGUGGGUAUCUCCGUGGGCAUGACAAUAGUUGAAGAAGGAAGAUUCAGGGGUUGAGCAUUAGUUGCGCUACAAUCAAGCUCACACUCUAGCUUUGGCUUCUAGAUACCGCAUGAAGCACGUUCAAGAUUAGAUAGUGAUUUGUAUGGUAUCUCAUAUUUUACUCAGGAAAUGCACUAUUGUUACCACAAUCGCUUAGUAUCAAGGUGAUGCACCUAAUGUGUCAAAUGCU
Hordeum vulgare subsp. vulgare (domesticated barley) is the source of this 525-nucleotide long non-coding RNA. RefSeq lists it as uncharacterized. The transcript has 4 exons. The record is from RefSeq and is a predicted model, not a curated record. Lineage: Eukaryota; Viridiplantae; Streptophyta; Magnoliopsida; Poales; Poaceae.